GGACAAUCGCCCAAGGACUGAUAAGGAGAAGGAAGAAUUAGAUCGAGCAAUUGCACUUUCUUUGGCCGAAGGUUUGAAGAAUCCAAAUGGAUAUCAGUGGCAGCCAGACAAUGAUGAAGAUCUUGCAAAAUCACGUCAAGACGACCUUCAUCCGUCAUACCUUCCAUAUGUACCUAGCGAAUGUCAUCCCAUGGGAUAUAGAGUAUGUGGUGGCUGCAACCGCGACAUUGAUGCUUGUGGUUMUGUUAUGGGGACCUUUUUUCAUCCAKAGUGCUUCUGUUGUCRUGCUUGUGGUUACCCAAUCACCGAACACGAGGUCAUUUGUUCUGCUAUUAGCCAUCAUGCCACCAAAUGCAUUUUAUUUGAUUUAAACUUAUUUCUCAUUUGAUCCGUGACAAACUUAUGUAAUGUCAAAUGAUGUUGUUGAAUCUCUUACUAUUGCCAGCUCUUAUUAGUUUUUUCUAUUGAUUUAAGUUCUCUUUAUCAGGGAAAGAUGCAU
This is a long non-coding RNA of Cynara cardunculus var. scolymus (artichoke), 499 nucleotides long. RefSeq lists it as uncharacterized. The record is from RefSeq and is a predicted model, not a curated record. The transcript is spliced from 3 exons. NCBI's taxonomy places the organism in Eukaryota, Viridiplantae, Streptophyta, Magnoliopsida, Asterales, Asteraceae.